CCCGACCAUAUUGUCCUGUCACAGCAGUACUGCCUGGUUACUGCUGCGCCGGGACAAGCGGUCGUG
RNAcentral lists this microRNA precursor (66 nucleotides) under Manduca sexta (tobacco hornworm). Its description in RNAcentral is "mir-1000 microRNA precursor family". It matches the Rfam family "mir-1000 microRNA precursor family". The record is from Rfam by way of RNAcentral. Lineage: Eukaryota; Metazoa; Arthropoda; Insecta; Lepidoptera; Sphingidae.